CCCUUAGAUGUCCGGGGCUGCACGCGCGCUACACUGAAGGAAUCAGCGUGCUAAAACCAUUGUCGAAAGGCAUUGGUAAACCCAUUAAAAUCCUACGUGAUUGGGAUCGGGAAUUGCAGUUAUUUCCCUUGAACGAGGAAUUCCCAGUAAGUGUGGGUCAUAAGCUCGCGUUGAUUACGUCCCUGCCCUUUGUACACACCGCCCGUCGCUGCCCGGGACUGAGCCGUUUCGAGAAAAGCGGGGACUGCUGCUGUCGGGGCUUUCGGGCCUUGGCUUCGGUGGAAACCGCUUUAAUCGCAGUGGCUUGAACCGGGCAAAANUCGUAACA
Molecule: ribosomal RNA, 328 nt
Filed under: uncultured eukaryote
Lineage: Eukaryota
Description: partial 18S ribosomal RNA
Rfam family: Eukaryotic small subunit ribosomal RNA
Source: RNAcentral